This 2466-nucleotide long non-coding RNA is filed under the name Mus musculus (house mouse). Its description in RNAcentral is "long non-coding RNA chr6:63520768-63523234". The record is from RNAcentral. Lineage: Eukaryota; Metazoa; Chordata; Mammalia; Rodentia; Muridae.
GGCUGCAUUUACUUUCUUAGAGUAAUUAGAUAUCUUCAGAUUUGAUAUUUUUAUAAAAACCUUCCUAUUUUCCCUCUAAUUAUUCAUUUGUUCUUAAAACUUCUUAAUAAAAUUUUAUGGUUUUUAUACAUUUGUUUAAUUCUUGUCAAUAAAAAUUUAUAUUUAAAAAAAAAAAAAAAAAAAAAAAAAAAAAAAAACUGUCCAUAUUCUUUGCAUGUACCUAGGAUGAUAUAAAAGCACACUGGAAAAAAAAUUAAACCCACCUCAGCACUUGCUGGAAACAUGUUAUAAUAUUGUCUGAUUGUCUCUUUUUCUUUAAUCCUCCCUCCCUCCCUUGAGACCCUGUUGACUGACUGAGCAGGCUUGGUCAACUUAGACUAUUGUUAUUUUAUUUGCCUUUGACAACUACUGGGGAGUGGUAACCCUAAUCUACUCUUCUCACAGCUGGCCUGACUACCAGCCCAGUGGUGUUCCUCAGAUACUUGCUGUUUCUCUUGUCCAUGUACUCAUGGUCCAGCUCUCCUCAUGGCCACUUCCCCUCUCUUCUUUGUCCUUCUCCAACUAAGUCACUCCAAAGCCACCUACCUCUCUUCACAAAAUAUUCUUAUCUGUUAAGCACUAGCAUUCUAAGAAAGUGUCAGAAGUAAAAGGGAAAGCAGUGGAAACUGGAAUUUGGUGUAAUGUGCCAUUUACUGUCAGACACAAUUUCAUCUUCUCAAACAACCAGGAAGCAUGUUACAGGCCUGCGAUGAUAUAUAGGAAGGGCAUGAAUAGAAAAAGAUCAAAACCUUCUUGUGCAUUUCAGGAACUGUAUUUUAAAUGUGUACGCAGUAAAGUUUUAUAUGUUAAUAACUGAGUAUCAGAUUACUAAAACAUUUGAAGAUCAUUGUUUUCAAUAAUAUUUUUUUCUGAUUUUUAAAAGGGUACUCCUAUACAUGCUGAUCACAUUUACGAUCCCUUUGCUUCUCCCAGUCCCUCUCACUCACCUCCUCUCCUCCACAUCCUUCUGUCUUUCCUUUCUCAUCAGAAAAGUGGGGGACUUCCAUCCAUAUCAAACAGCCUUGGCAUAUCAAGUUGCAGUAGGAGUAGGUAUGUUUUUCUUUUACUGUGGUUAGGCAAGGCAGCCACAGAUAUCCAAAAGCAGGCAAAAGAGUCAGAUACAGCCCUUGCUCUUGAUGUUAGAAGUCACAGAUGAAGACCAACUUUCACAUCUGCUUCAUAUGUAUAGGGGUCAUAGGUCUUUCUCAUACAUGUUCUUUGGUUGGUGGAUCAGAUUUUGUGAGCACCUAUGGACCCAGUUUAGUUGUUUUAGUAUGUUUCCUUGUGGUGACCUUGACCUUUCUGUCUCCUUCCAUCUUUCCACCCCAUCUUCAAUAGGAUUCUCCGAGCUAGACAUAAUGUUUGUCUGUGGGUCUCUGCAUGAGUUUCCGUCAUCUUCUGGAUGAAGCUUCUCUGAUGAUGGUUAUGCUUGGUACCUAUCUGCAAGUAUAACAGAAUAUCAUUAAUAGUGUUAAUGGUGGGCUCUUUCUCAUAGCAUGGUCCUCAAGCUGGACAAGAUAUUGGUUGGCUAUUUUCUCAAUUUCUGCUCCAUCAUUAUCCCUGCACGUCUUGUUUGCAGGACAAAUUAUGAGUCUAAGGUUUGGCUUCAUGCCCCAGUUCCUAUAUUGGAAGUGUUUUCUGGUUACAUGUGAUGGCUGAUUCAGGUUCCAUGUCAAAAAUUGCUAAGAAUCUUAGCAAAAGGUGUUCUCAUAAAUUCAUGUGAGUUUCCAUUGUCUUAAGUCUCUAGCUUGUACCAAAAAUACCAACCCUGACAGGUUCUGAGACUUUUCCAAAUACUCUUUUUCUCUCUGCUACUUCCCCAGACUUUAUCACUCUAACUCCCCUCUUCACUUACUCUUCCACCUAGUUCUAUGCUCUUUGUACUCUUCUGAGGGAUAUCAAAUAAACACCAUUGAGCCUUUCUUCUUACUUAACUUUUUUGGCUCUAAAGAUUGUAGCAUCACAACACCAGAGGCGAGGUUAGCAUUCCAAACCCUAGAGGCCAUGAAUGCCAUAAAACUCCUAUGGAGUACCCUACUAGACUUGAAGAGUAGCUCGUCACCAGAACCCAGCCUCUCAAGGCAGUAGACAGAAAAUAGAAACCAAGGGAAAAUCUCCCCUCCCCCCAAAUCCACACAUACAAAAAGAUAAAUCAGCAUCUAAAUCUAUAAUAACUGCAAAACUCAGUUGCAAGCAUAAAAAUGUAAGAACCAGGGCAAUAUGGCACCACUAAAACCCAUUCAUCCUAGUGCAGCAAGACUUAGAUAUUCUAAAACAGCUGAAGUACAAGAAAAAUGACUUAAAAUUCUAUCAUACAAAGAAGAAGCUAGGGGCCUUUAAAGAGGAAAUAAAUCCAUUAAAGAAAUAUAGGAGAAUACAAUCAAACUGAUGAAGGAAAUGAAUAAAACUAUUUAAGACCAGAAAAUG